RNAcentral lists this unclassified non-coding RNA (502 nucleotides) under Hevea brasiliensis (rubber tree). Lineage: Eukaryota; Viridiplantae; Streptophyta; Magnoliopsida; Malpighiales; Euphorbiaceae. The record is from RNAcentral.
UGACAUCCAAUAAAAUUAUUUAAAUGAUUUAAUUGUUUUUCCUUAGAUGCGCUAUCUGCAUAGCACGAAUGAUAAAAGUCAUAACAGAAAUUCUCACUUUCCCCAGAAAAUACAGCAAGCAACAUAUCUAGUCUUCAGGAAAAGAGUGAAGGCGAGGUGAAUGGGGAAGGGAACUAGUUAAAACCCACCCACUGCACCUGCAUCAAUGAAUAAUGUCUUUUCCUAAUCCUGCACUCCCGACAGUUCAAAACUUUUGUGCACAACGAAACACAAUCAAAUUCCUUCAAGACCAAAUGCUAUCGAGAUAACUACCAAUUAACCCAAUCAACAGUCAAGAAAGAACAACAUACGAGAAACGUACAAAAGCAAGGUUUAGCAUUCAACUAAAAAUGGGAAAAGAGGCAAUUGCGUAUGCAGAUGAGAUCUAGUAAAAAAAAAAAAACCAAGCCCAUGAUUUUUUCUUCUCUUCCUCCAACCGGCGCCACCCCACCCGGCUUUGGGC